Molecule: long non-coding RNA, 1443 nt
Filed under: Apteryx haastii (Great spotted kiwi)
Lineage: Eukaryota; Metazoa; Chordata; Aves; Apterygiformes; Apterygidae
Description: lncRNA (ENSAHAG00000012731.1)
Source: RNAcentral
GAGCCCUCCGCCAUCCGCCCCUUCUCCCCUUCCUCCUCAGGGCUCAUCGCUCCCGUCCUCUUCCAUGGAGGAGGAGGAGAGGACUGCCUCUUGACCUUGCGUUUUCUCCUCGCAGGAGAUGCCCCCCCGCGCUCACGCACACACAGCCCUCGAUCGCAGCGCCCCGGCCUCCCCCUCCUCCUUUGUAGUCGCGCUGCCCGCGGCACACGCGCAGGCAGCGGCGAGGAGGAGCGCGGGGGGCGGRGGCCGCCGCCGUCCUCUCGCCGGGCAGAUGGGAAGCGAGGGCGGCGGGCGCGGAGCCGCCACAGCAUCCCGCACCGACCGCGCCGGGGGCCGCGGCAGGCCUCGGGGCUGCCCCCGCCCCGCUCGUCACCCCGCGGGGAACGCAGCGGGGACGGGCGGAAGAGAGGGGUUAACAGCCGCUCUGUCCAGCUGACAGCUCCCCAGCAGCCAUUUUUAAAGGCUAACUGUAAUCUCCUCGCUGGUCCGGUCGGCUCAGUGCCCCCCCCGCCCCUCGGUCGGCUUGGUCCGUCCCUGCGCCCGGCCCUCAGCGGGAGCGCGGCCGCCGCUGCCGGGGCCCCGCGGCGGGAGGGGACUCGGCCCGGGGGCGACGGAGACCGCCACCCCUCCCCAUCCGGGGCAGGGGAAGGGGCAGCCGGGGUGAUUUCACACCAGCAACUCCUGCGCCCACAAGCGCCUUCCCGCCCCUUCCCCUGCGCCCAGCGAGAGCAACCUGCACUGCUGGCUGCGGCUCAACAGAGGUGUCGCCCAUCCGAGCCUAAAAAGGGCGGGGGGGGGGAAGGGUGGAACGCCGCCGCGCAGCCCUUAAAGGCCCAGCGCCCACCGGGCCGGCGGCUGCCGCGCUCCCGAAACGCCCCAGGCGGGUCGCACGAGCGCCCGCAGCAGCCUCCUCUCGCCACCGCUCGGCCUGGCCUUGGGUGGGCUGCCGGUUCACGCUUUAUUUAUAGCCGGGGGGGCGGGGUUUUAUUAUUUUUAAAGGGAGGGCGGUCCGUACGGACGCACUGCCGGCCCCUGCCCGCACCCGCAGCCCGGCCAGCGGCGGGGCGGAAGGAGCGGUGCGGCCGGGCUGCUGUGGCCCCGCCCCGGCGCGCGGGGUCCGUUGGUGGCGGCGGGAGCGGGGUCGCCGCGGUGGCUUCGUCCGGUCCCGCUCGGCUCGGCCCGGCCCGGCCCCUCUGCUGGCCGCAGGUCGCCCCUGGCCGGCUCGAGGGGACAGCGCAGGCCUGGCACCCGGCCCGUUACCGUGUUCGCGUCGCCACGGGGCCUGGGGCUGCUGGGGCUGCAGGGCCGCCUCUCCGGGGAGCAGCCGUUCGGUGUUCAUUCACCUCCAGUCCUGGAAAGUUCAGGGAGGUUUUCUUUAAAGUCAGGCCAGUUAAUACUAGAAGAGCUGCUAGAGCUUGCUGUUUUGAAGUUCUUAUUUUCUAA